Non-coding RNA from Leptonychotes weddellii (Weddell seal), 4609 nucleotides. The record is from RefSeq and is a predicted model, not a curated record. NCBI's taxonomy places the organism in Eukaryota, Metazoa, Chordata, Mammalia, Carnivora, Phocidae.
UGAAGGCAGCUGCUUAACUGACUGAGCCACCCAGGCGUCCCCUUAUGACAGCGUUUUAAAUCCCUGCACCGGUCCUACCUCUUUAUGAGUGAUCCUGUAAAGUUAGGUGGUAUGGAGUUUCAUUCCACACUCCGCUUGUGACCUCCUAGAGAAGAGAAUGGAACUCAAGCCUCCCAUAUGCAUCAGGUCUUUAUUUCCAUUAAUGUGCCUUAGAGUCUGCACCUAACGAAAUGUCGAUGAUCUAGAGCUACUGGCCAAGGUGUUUGGGGAGCACGGCUUGAGCCAUGGCCCCACGUGAAUCAUCAGCAUCUGCAAACGUGAUGAGCGCCACCUCAGUGCCUGCACCUGAGUCUCUCCCAGAGGGGAGGGCAGGCUCUGUGGCAGACGUGCUCGGCGUCUUACCGUGAGCCCCCCUGUCCUGCCGGCCUCCUCUGGCAGCCAGGGGUCGGACCUGGGAGGAGGUGCCAUACUGGCCACACCGCCCAUCAGCGUGUGUCUGACAGACCGGGGGCCCCCUCUGGAGCAGGCACUGUGCUUCCCGUGACCCUCACCCCCUGCUCCCGGCACCAGGCCUAGCCUGGAGCAUGCCCGGGGAGGGGGGUGGUGCUGGCUGGCUCCCCAGUCCCAGGACAGGUUCCCAGCCACAGCGAGAGGCCAGGGGCCAGACUGCGGGAUGCACCCUUCGAGGUUUGCCAGCUCUGCUCUGGGCUGAGGAGCGUGGGGGUGGAGCUUCCCCCCGGACCUCACCCCACCAGCCCUUACGACCUUGGCCCAAACCGCGGCCCUUCUUGCUCCCUCUGCUCUGGGCCUACAGGCCCUCUUGCCCACCCGCUUCCUCUUCCAGGAACGCCGCCUUCCCCCUUCCCUUCCUCCCUCCUCCUCUGCCCCUCGCAGCCUCCUCCUUCCCUCCACCCGGCCGGCCGCAGGACAGGCUCCUUUGUCCCUUAAGAGGGAAGCUCACCUGUUGAGAGAGGUCUUCCCUGACCUCUUCUGCUGUCACUCUGUCCCCACACCCCCUUUAUUGUCUGCGUCUUUUCCUUUCCUUAAAAUGACCCUAUUAUUUUUAUUACGUUCUGGCUCCCACCACACCCUGAAUUCCCUGACUUAUCUCUGCCACCUAGCACAGACCGUAACUGUUGACGGAAUCAGGGUUGAUGGGCUUUCUCUGCUGCAGAUGGCAGACCUGCACGCGGUCCCGAGGGGCCUGUACGACGGGCCGGUGUUUGACCUGACCACCACACCCAAAGGGGGCACCCCCGCGGGCUCCACCCGGGGCUCCCCCACACGGCCCAACCCGCCCGUGAGGAACCUCCAUCAGUCGGGAUUCAGCCUGUCCGGCACCCAAGUGGAUGAGGGGGUCCGCUCGGCCAGCAAGCGCAUCGUGGCACCCCCCGGAGGCCGUUCUAACAUCACGUCCCUGAGUUAAGCGACCCCUCCCCAAAGAGAGGGGCAGAAGCAAGAAGAGAUUUUUUUGAAGCCAAAAUGGUACACCAAUAUUUAAGAAGGAAAGCGAAUCCAAACAGUUGCGAUCUAAAGAAUCAAUAAGCCUCAAGCCUUAUGUUUCUCCAAUGCUACACUCGCUUGCCUAGCUUUACGAAUAUUGCUUUGUUUUCUGUUCAUGCAUAGCCUUGAUUGGUUUGACCCUGCCUCCCCGCAUUUACGUGCAUGCAAUCAGACAGGCUACUAAGGUAAAAGUCUGCUAUAUAGUGUUGAGAGCGUGUGUAGUGCUGCAUUUUAUGACAAGGGGACAGACAAAGCUGGGAUGCCAGGAAAAUCAACAAAAGGGACGCAGUUAUUUGGGGUGAGGGGGUGGUGGGAGCCCAGAGCGAGGCAGAAGGCUCAGAGGGGCUGGGGUAGGGCGUGGACGGGGAGGCGGGUGGGUGGGUGAGCAUAAGGGGGCUUGUGUAUUGUGUUGACGAAGCACGUUUGUUUCCACGGAAGAUGGCUACUUGGGGCAGCCUGUCCCUUCAUCACGGUCCCCAGGGGUCUGUGGAGAAGGCAGGCAGUCUUCAGGUUCCAGACGUAGUCACAUCCCCUCCUAGAUUUUAUUCCUUUGAACAUUUUAUUAAAACACCAAAACCCAACCAUUAUUUUCACCUGCUUGAUCGUGCCAGUGUUUGGUGGGGCCUCUUUCUCAGUGUUGCUUUCAAAUUCUCCUCUUUCCUGGGCCGGGAAGGAAGAGAGGAGAGAGGAAAGCCCUCUUCUCUGUCUUGCCUGCCUCUUUGGUGCUCUUUAACAACAGGCCCUCGGGGUGGGGGCAGCCAUGCUCACACACCUUCCUCAAAGCACACGUUGGAGAUCCCCUCGCAUUCGCGUGGCUUCGCGAACUGGGAAGAGCAGCGUGUGUUCGUCAUCCCAAGUUAGGACGAGACUCAGUGGGGCCCCGGGAAGGGCUUCUCUUGCUGCCGGUCAGUAGCCGAUUCUUUCCGUCUCAAGAUCCAGGCACAUUCGUGAUUGAAGAGGAUUUUUAGUGCUUAGGUGUUCUCUAAGUUUUGCUCCGAACAGGUGAUCUCAGUUGAGACGGGAGCCAAGCAAAGAUAUGGGAAAGCUAGUCUGUGGAGCUGAGGGAGCACAUUCUGCGGCCGUGGGUCUGCUUUGCAGCCCUGAACCCUCUGUCGCCUCUUCUUUGAGCACAUCCUCUGGGGGAGCUUUUUGUUUCCUUAUAAAGCCUCUCAAGGUGAGUGGAAGUGACAUGCAGCCUUGUGUGAUGUGGCCCAGAACAGACGUGGAGCUCAAUGUCCAUUUCCCCGCCCUGCCACUUGUGAAAAUUCAAUGUUGGAGCAAGUUCUCUGAGCCAGAUGAGGAUCUGUAGAACUAAGGUCCAGAGGCAGAAAAAGUACAUUCACCCUGGGAUCAGAUGUCUGUGCUUGGGGGAUGCGGCCCGUAGGACCCUAACCGUGUGUACUAGGUACUCGGAAGAAAGAGAGCAGGCCUCAAACACCUUUCAGGUGCUCAGGAGAAGCUGUUCUCUCUGACAGCUGAAGACCAGAGAAAAGGGAACAACAACACAUGGCUAAAAAGGAAUUUGGAAAUAGCCAAGGAAGAGGACUCCCCCUAGCCAUCUAAUUACUGUUCUAUUCAUGAAAAUGAUCAUUUCUCCUCAUAAUAAGGAAUCUUGCUAUUUGAAGGCUUUUUCAUGGUGCCUUUAUUGUAAAGGAAACUUAACGGGAGCAUGUAGCUCUUGAUUUAUAACUCAAAACACCUGAGGGCCUGUCGCAGAACUCAGAAUGACAGUUUUGCGGACAGAGGGAGAUUGCCAGAUCUGAAGCGUCUAAGUUACAUAUAUACCUCAUUGGCUGGGCUGUUCUGUAGGAUGUGUUGCAGUACCAGCCACAACCACCAGGUGGAGGAAAAGACAAAAAACCAGUGGGCGCGUCCUCUUGUGUACCGUCUGCUCUUGAUUCCUAGCCAGAGCCCAGCUCCUCCCUCCAUGACCUCUCUAGGCCAUGACAAUAAAUCCUUCAUGGCCACAUUGGUCGUCUGCACUGCACUGGGACUGCUGAAUGAAGCAUUCAACCAGCACUUCAUAUCCUACACAAGCUUUCCAUGCUGUAGGAAUAACGCUAAUGCCUUCACCAUGGGCAACGUGAUCUGGGAAAGCCUCCCUUUCUUCACUUACUAUAAGUAACUUCCCAAGCACAGAGAUUCCUAAGAAUUGCAGGAAAACUCCCUCUCUUUCCUUGACUUUGGUUUCUCGUACCUUGUUACUUGAGUUAAAAUUUAUAUUCAAAUGUGUCCUCUUCCAUAAGGCACAUCAAAGAGCCCUCCCUAUACACAGGGCUUAGGAAGAGAACAUGAUGCAAGUCACAGCUCUCUCAGAAUUCACAGCAUCUCAUCCACAUGUGGGAGGGCUUGCUGGACCUUCGUCUCCUGCCCAAGCUUUCUUUUGCCCUCUCGUCUCUUGGCCUGGCCCCUCUCUAAGGAUGCCCUGGCUUCCCUGCAACAGUCUCACAUUAUUCCUUAUCCAGAUGGCAGUCAACUGGGGUUCUCUCUGGGAGGGCCAUAAUCUUGGGUAGUUGAGAAGGUAUUUGUGGAAUUGUUAGAUCAGCCAAUCCCGUAGAGGUGUUUCUUCUAUUUCUGUUUUCUAAAACUGGCAGUUGUAGUCAUCCCGAAAAUGGGUUUUCUUCAAAGACCAGUCACCCUUUGGCCUUUUUCCUCAUGCCUACACCCAGAGAGUCAUGCUCUGCUGCAAAGGCCUUAAUCCUAAGCCUGGACUUGCACUCACCCUGAGAGGCCCUUCCCCACAGGGUGGAUGAGCCCCCCCCCCCCACCAAACUUGGUUCUAGCCACAAGCUUCCCAGGCCUACCCCCUGGAAAACUCCAGCUUGAGUCCCAGAUAUACCCAUGGGCUGUCCCGGGCAGCCAGCAUUCAUUGUACAAGUUCCCUCUUUGGAAAAUGGUGUGUGGGUGUUCAGUUCUGUGUCUGGUGAAUAUGAACAGACCGUAAAUCUCCCUGUGAUCUGUGGUAGCUGUAAGGCAGCUCGGAACGUGAAGAGCUGUUUGGUUUGAACCGUGAAGAAAACUGUGUUUUGAGUUUAGCUGAGAUUAAAGAAAAGUUCAUCAAGUGACUGUUAAUGUACACCUGGUUAUUAAAAUAACUAUGAAAUUA